UGAUUUGCUCGUAGGGCGCGAGCAAGGUAAACGAAAAAAAGCCCAUCGAGA
RNAcentral lists this non-coding RNA (51 nucleotides) under unclassified sequences. RNAcentral's name for it is "6A RNA". It matches the Rfam family "6A RNA". Rfam says of the family: Actinobacteria (1 example), Firmicutes, Fusobacteria. Terminator (Clostridia) The record is from Rfam by way of RNAcentral.